AAGGGUGUAGCUCAGUGGUAGAGAGCUGACCUGGAAUGUGUGAGGCUCUGGGUUUGAUCCCCAGCACACACA
This 72-nucleotide transfer RNA is filed under the name Mesocricetus auratus (golden hamster). It matches the Rfam family "tRNA". Rfam says of the family: Transfer RNA (tRNA) molecules are approximately 80 nucleotides in length. Lineage: Eukaryota; Metazoa; Chordata; Mammalia; Rodentia; Cricetidae. The record is from Rfam by way of RNAcentral.